RNAcentral lists this transfer RNA (70 nucleotides) under Loxodonta africana (African savanna elephant). It matches the Rfam family "tRNA". From Rfam's summary of the family: Transfer RNA (tRNA) molecules are approximately 80 nucleotides in length. Their secondary structure includes four short double-helical elements and three loops (D, anti-codon, and T loops). The record is from Rfam by way of RNAcentral. Lineage: Eukaryota; Metazoa; Chordata; Mammalia; Proboscidea; Elephantidae.
GCAGUGGUGCUUUAGUGGCAGAAUUCUCACCUUCCAUGUGGGAGACCCAGGUUUGAUCCUGGCCAAUUCA